CCGACCUUAGCUCAGUUGGUAGAGCGGAGGACUGUAGUCGGUUGUUUAUAGAAUAGGUGAUCCUUAGGUCGCUGGUUCGAAUCGGGCAGGUUGGA
Molecule: transfer RNA, 95 nt
Filed under: Ipomoea nil (Japanese morning glory)
Lineage: Eukaryota; Viridiplantae; Streptophyta; Magnoliopsida; Solanales; Convolvulaceae
Rfam family: tRNA
About the family: Transfer RNA (tRNA) molecules are approximately 80 nucleotides in length. Their secondary structure includes four short double-helical elements and three loops (D, anti-codon, and T loops).
Source: Rfam by way of RNAcentral